Molecule: ribosomal RNA, 253 nt
Filed under: uncultured bacterium
Lineage: Bacteria
Description: partial 16S ribosomal RNA
Rfam family: Bacterial small subunit ribosomal RNA
Source: RNAcentral
UACGGGGGGGGCAAGCGUUGUUCGGAAUUACUGGGCGUAAAGGGCUCGUAGGUGGUCAACUAAGUCGGACGUGAAAUCCCUCGGCUUAACCGGGGAACUGCGUCCGAUACUGGAUGACUUGAGUUCGGGAGAGGGAUGCGGAAUUCCAGGUGUAGCGGUGAAAUGCGUAGAUAUCUGGAGGAACACCGGUGGCGAAGGCGACGUCCUGGACCGGCAUUGACGCUGAGGCGCGAAAGCGUGGGGAGCAAACAGG